CCUACGGGAGGCAGCAGUAGGGAAUAUUGCUCAAUGGGGGAAACCCUGAAGCAGCAACGCCGCGUGGAGGAUGAAGGUUUUCGGAUUGUAAACUCCUUUUGUUAGAGAAGAUAAUGACGGUAUCUAACGAAUAAGCACCGGCUAACUCCGUGCCAGCAGCCGCGGUAAUACGGAGGGUGCAAGCGUUACUCGGAAUCACUGGGCGGAAAGAGCGCGUAGGCGGGAUAGCAAGUCAGAUGUGAAAUCCUAUGGCUUAACCAUAGAACUGCAUUUGAAACUGUUAUUCUAGAGUAUGGGAGAGGUAGGUGGAAUGCUUGGUGUAGUGGUGAAAUCCGUAGAGAUCAAGAGGAAUACUCAUUGCGAAGGCGACCUGCUAGAACAUAACUGACGCUGAUGCGCGAAAGCGUGGGGAGCAAACAGGAUUAGAUACCCCAGUAGUC
This 440-nucleotide ribosomal RNA is filed under the name uncultured bacterium. RNAcentral's name for it is "partial 16S ribosomal RNA". It matches the Rfam family "Bacterial small subunit ribosomal RNA", at positions 338 to 795 of the family's 1533-position model. The record is from RNAcentral.